Molecule: ribosomal RNA, 786 nt
Filed under: Comamonas sp. JBS-17
Lineage: Bacteria; Pseudomonadati; Pseudomonadota; Betaproteobacteria; Burkholderiales; Comamonadaceae
Description: bacterial SSU rRNA
Rfam family: Bacterial small subunit ribosomal RNA
Source: RNAcentral
UUAGAGUUUGAUCCUGGCUCAGAUUGAACGCUGGCGGCAUGCCUUACACAUGCAAGUCGAACGGUAACAGGUCUUCGGAUGCUGACGAGUGGCGAACGGGUGAGUAAUACAUCGGAACGUGCCUGGUAGUGGGGGAUAACUACUCGAAAGAGUGGCUAAUACCGCAUGAGAUCUACGGAUGAAAGCAGGGGAUCGCAAGACCUUGUGCUACUAGAGCGGCCGAUGGCAGAUUAGGUAGUUGGUGGGAUAAAAGCUUACCAAGCCGACGAUCUGUAGCUGGUCUGAGAGGACGAUCAGCCACACUGGGACUGAGACACGGCCCAGACUCCUACGGGAGGCAGCAGUGGGGAAUUUUGGACAAUGGGCGCAAGCCUGAUCCAGCAAUGCCGCGUGCAGGAUGAAGGCCUUCGGGUUGUAAACUGCUUUUGUACGGAACGAAAAGCUCUGGGUUAAUACCCUGGGGUCAUGACGGUACCGUAAGAAUAAGCACCGGCUAACUACGUGCCAGCAGCCGCGGUAAUACGUAGGGUGCAAGCGUUAAUCGGAAUUACUGGGCGUAAAGCGUGCGCAGGCGGUUUUGUAAGACAGUGGUGAAAUCCCCGGGCUCAACCUGGGAACUGCCAUUGUGACUGCAAGGCUAGAGUGCGGCAGAGGGGGAUGGAAUUCCGCGUGUAGCAGUGAAAUGCGUAGAUAUGCGGAGGAACACCGAUGGCGAAGGCAAUCCCCUGGGCCUGUACUGACGCUCAUGCACGAAAGCGUGGGGAGCAAACAGGAUUAGAUACCCUG